AAAGUGACAAAUGUAGGCUGUAGGCCAGGCGUGGUGGCUUACGCCUGUAAUCCCAGCACUCUGGGAGGCCGAGGCGGGUGGAUCGCCAGGUCAGGAGUCCGAGACCAGCCUGACCAACAUGGAGAAACCCCCGUCUCUCUCUCUUUUUUUUUUUUUUUUUUUGAGAUGGAGUCUGGCUCUGUCACCCAGGCUGGAGUGCAGCAAGAUCAUCUCGGGUUAGACCUUAAGUAGGACUUCCCAAGCAGCGGCUGCGCCUACGAAGUGCAGCGCGAGAUCAGGGAGCGGUGAACCUGAUAAGGAAACGCCCGAAGCGUGGGGUCGGAAAUUUCCAGAUGCCCCGACU
Homo sapiens (human) is the source of this 343-nucleotide long non-coding RNA. Lineage: Eukaryota; Metazoa; Chordata; Mammalia; Primates; Hominidae. The record is from Ensembl.